GGUAUGCUGGCGGAAUUGGUUACGCGCGGGACUGCAACUCUCGUUAUCUCGGUUCAAGUCCGGGGCAUACCUCCA
This 75-nucleotide transfer RNA is filed under the name Robiginitomaculum sp. Its description in RNAcentral is "tRNA-Cys". It matches the Rfam family "tRNA". Rfam says of the family: Transfer RNA (tRNA) molecules are approximately 80 nucleotides in length. Their secondary structure includes four short double-helical elements and three loops (D, anti-codon, and T loops). Lineage: Bacteria; Pseudomonadati; Pseudomonadota; Alphaproteobacteria; Maricaulales; Robiginitomaculaceae. The record is from RNAcentral.